RNAcentral lists this ribosomal RNA (462 nucleotides) under uncultured bacterium. RNAcentral's name for it is "partial 16S ribosomal RNA". It matches the Rfam family "Bacterial small subunit ribosomal RNA", at positions 28 to 507 of the family's 1533-position model. The record is from RNAcentral.
GACGAACGCUGGCGGCGUGCUUAACACAUGCAAGUCGAGCGGAAAGGCCACUUCGGUGGUACUCGAGCGGCGAACGGGUGAGUAACACGUGAGUAAUCUGCCCCUGGCUUUGGGAUAGCCACCGGAAACGGUGAUUAAUACCGGAUAUGACACAUUCUCGCAUGAGUUUGUGUGGAAGUUUUUCGGCCAGGGAUGUGCUCGCGGCCUAUCAGCUUGAUGGUGAGGUAAUGGCUCACCAUGGCUUCGACGGGUAGCCGGCCUGAGAGGGUGACCGGUCACACUGGGACUGAGACACGGCCCAGACUCCUACGGGAGGCAGCAGUGGGGAAUAUUGGACAAUGGGCGGAAGCCUGAUCCAGCAACGCCGCGUGAGGGAUGACGGCCUUCGGGUUGUAAACCUCUUUCAGUACCGACGAAGCGCAAGUGACGGUAGGUACAGAAGAAGCACCGGCCAACUACGUG